Molecule: long non-coding RNA, 766 nt
Organism: Papaver somniferum (opium poppy)
Lineage: Eukaryota; Viridiplantae; Streptophyta; Magnoliopsida; Ranunculales; Papaveraceae
Exons: 3
Source: RefSeq, a predicted model, not a curated record
UGGAAUCAUAUUUUUCGUACAUUUUCUGUUCAAUUCUUGUGCUUUAGAGAAAUUUUGUUUUUUGGUUUUGCUGAUUUGGGAUUUGGUGGUGUUAAAGGAUGCGGAGCUUGCCCAAGUAAUGGAAGGAUCAAUUGAUUAUGAUCCCAUUACUCCUGAACUGUAUCAAAGGGUAUCUUCAAUAAUCCAUGUGAAAGAGGAAGAUGUCAUUACCAUCUCUUGUUCACUAAUGAAUUCUGGUUAUCUUUGUCGUCUUUUGAGGUUACUGGCAGGGCAGUUCAAAAUUUAUUUCAAACAUUAAGGGUUGCCAUUGUUGUGGCUAGUAUGUGUUCACAAUUUUGCUCUCUAGGUACCAUGUCUUCUUAUUAUGCAGGGUACUUCUCGGGUGACAAAAAAUCCCAAGCACAACAGCAGGGUACUUCUAGGGUGACAAAAAAUCCCAAGCACAACAGCCUGAAGCUAAAGUCAUAUUGGCUUGCAUACCAGGAGCUGAUCCAAGUUUACUUCGAAGCGACUGAUGUUAUUAUCAACUCUAUCAUUGUUUCUCAGUGUAGUGUUAAGUGGACUACCACUCCUGUAAUAAUAGAUUGAUAAUUUUAUUCAAGUUUUGCUCGAUUCUAUGCUUGUAAGUUUGGUAACAGGUCUUGUAACUUUAUGGUCGAUAUACUUGCAAUUUUAUGCCAAGUGUCCAAGUCCUGGAUGAAUGGUCAUUGUUAUCGCAUUUCCUUAUGUUAAAGAGGCUUUGGUCAGUGAUGUAACUACCCUUUAU